CAGAUUGAACGCUGGCGGCAUGCCUUACACAUGCAAGUCGAACGGCAGCACGGGAGCAAUCCUGGUGGCGAGUGGCGAACGGGUGAGUAAUACAUCGGAACGUGCCCAAUCGUGGGGGAUAACGCAGCGAAAGCUGUGCUAAUACCGCAUAAGAUCUACGGAUGAAAGCAGGGGAUCGCAAGACCUUGCGCGAAUGGAGCGGCCGAUGGCAGAUUAGGUAGUUGGUGAGGUAAAGGCUCACAAGCCUUCGAUCUGUAGCUGGUCUGAGAGGACGACCAGCCACACUGGGACUGAGACAC
This 299-nucleotide ribosomal RNA is filed under the name uncultured soil bacterium. Its description in RNAcentral is "partial 16S ribosomal RNA". It matches the Rfam family "Bacterial small subunit ribosomal RNA", at positions 25 to 327 of the family's 1533-position model. The record is from RNAcentral.